UGGGGAAUAUUGCACAAUGGGCGCAAGCCUGAUGCAGCCAUGCCGCGUGUGUGAAGAAGGCCUUCGGGUUGUAAAGCACUUUCAGCGAGGAGGAAGGUGGUGAACUUAAUACGUUCAUCAAUUGACGUUACUCGCAGAAGAAGCACCGGCUAACUCCGUGCCAGCAGCCGCGGUAAUACGGAGGGUGCAAGCGUUAAUCGGAAUUACUGGGCGUAAAAGCGCACGCAGGCGGUUUGUUAAGUCAGAUGUGAAAUCCCCGGGCUCAACCUGGGAACUGCAUUUGAAAACUGGCAAGCUAGAGUCUCGUAGAGGGGGGUAGAAUUCCAGGUGUAGCGGUGAAACGCGUAGAGAUCUGGAGGAAUACCGGUGGCGAAGGCGGCCCCCUGGACGAAGACUGACGCUCAGGUGCGAAAGCGUGGGGAGCAAAACAGGAUUAGAUACCCCUGGUAGUCCACGCUGUAAAACGAUGUCGAUUUUGGAGGUUGUGCCCCUUGAGGCGUGGCUUCCGGAGCUAACGCGUUAAAAUCGACCGCCUGGGGAGUACGGCCGCAAGGUUAAAAACUCAAGGGGAAAUUGACGGGGGUCAUAGCUGUUUUCCUG
This 600-nucleotide ribosomal RNA is filed under the name uncultured bacterium. Its description in RNAcentral is "partial 16S ribosomal RNA". It matches the Rfam family "Bacterial small subunit ribosomal RNA", at positions 355 to 1363 of the family's 1533-position model. The record is from RNAcentral.